CUACGGGUGGCUGCAGUGGGGAAUAUUGCACAAUGGACGAAAGUCUGAUGCAGCAACGCCGCGUGGAGGAUGACACAUUUCGGUGCGUAAACUCCUUUUAUAUAGGAAGAUAAUGACGGUACUAUAUGAAUAAGCACCGGCUAACUCCGUGCCAGCAGCCGCGGUAAUACGGAGGGUGCAAGCGUUACUCGGAAUCACUGGGCGUAAAGAGCGUGUAGGCGGGUAGUUAAGUCAGAAGUGAAAUCCAAUAGCUCAACUAUUGAACUGCUUUUGAAACUGAUUACCUAGAAUAUGGGAGAGGUAGAUGGAAUUUCUGGUGUAGGGGUAAAAUCCGUAGAGAUCAGAAGGAAUACCGAUUGCGAAGGCGAUCUACUGGAACAUUAUUGACGCUGAGACGCGAAAGCGUGGGGAGCAAACAGGAUUAGAUACCCGUGUAGUC
RNAcentral lists this ribosomal RNA (439 nucleotides) under uncultured bacterium. Its description in RNAcentral is "partial 16S ribosomal RNA". It matches the Rfam family "Bacterial small subunit ribosomal RNA", at positions 339 to 795 of the family's 1533-position model. The record is from RNAcentral.